Long non-coding RNA from Peromyscus californicus insignis, 2465 nucleotides. RefSeq lists it as uncharacterized. The transcript is spliced from 4 exons. The record is from RefSeq and is a predicted model, not a curated record. Lineage: Eukaryota; Metazoa; Chordata; Mammalia; Rodentia; Cricetidae.
UCAUACAUCCGGAUUCCCCGCGUCACGGGAUCACGAUAGCCCCUAUUCGCUCCCACGCGUUUUCCAGUCACAUCCGCCUUCACCUUCGUUCUCGGGGGACCCAGAGCUCACUGGGGAAGGCAGCCCGAGCCCCGACCAGCUGGGAAACCCAGAGAAGUACCUUGAUUACACAUGGGAUGAAAUGAAGGGCCUUGAGAAAGGAGAUGACUCUGAACUACCUGGGGCCUGGGAUCACCACAAGGUCCUCACAAUGUUGCUUGAAGGCAUGAACCUGCAUCCCAGUGAUGCCUGAACCCAGACCAGACUCCGAGCCCCAACUGUGGUGUCUUCUUCUACAUACUUGGACUUGAGUGUGGUGAGUAAACUGCCCUCCAGCACGGAGCAAGAGGACAUCUUCAUGAGUAUAGUGCCUGCAAAGGCCAGAAGAAGGGAUCAGAUCCCCUUGAGCUGGAGUCACAGAUUAGAUAUGGGGUCUUCUCUAUGCCCAGGCUGGUCUUGAGCUCCCGAGAACAGCUGGAACAACAGGUUGUGCCCCACACUGGACUCGCAGUACAAUACUAAUUGUCAUUGUGACAGGAUUGAGAGGAGGGACUCUAAGAGAUGAUUUCCAGAAGGACUCUGCCCUCAUGAAUGGAUUACUGCAACUCAGUUGCUGAAUAAAAUUUCAUUGUGUGCAUGUCCACCUAUUGAUGGACACCUAAGAUGAUUCUGUAUGGUGAACAGAGCAGCAGUGAACAUGGGUAUGAAAUAUCUCUGUGUCAAGAUAUCAAGUCCUUUGGGUACACACCCAUGAAUAGUAUAGCUGGAUCAUAUGGUUAGUUCCAUUCCUGGCUUCUGUAGUAUCCCUAAUAUUGAAUUCCAUAAUGGUCAUAUCAGUUUACACACCCAUCAGUAGCAAAUAAAGAUCAAAGAUGAGACUCUUUAAAAGACAUUUGUGCCAGGAGGACUCUGCUCUUUUGGAUGUGUUUGUGUAAAAGUGGGUCCCUGAUUAAAUUCAGUGAGUCACAAAACAAAAAGAAAAAAAUAUCCAAGUGGGAGGGGGCCUUAGAGGAAAAGUAGCUCAACAAGGGUGGAGGAGGGGAUAAGAGACUGGAACUGCAUGUGGUAAGAAUGUAUUGUAUAUAACUAUGAAAUUGUCAAAAAUAAAUUUAAUUUAAAAAAUCUAACAAUGCAGUAGUGGGAAGAAUACCUUAGCAGUAACCAACAGCUCCAUAGUUGGAUUUAAGACCCACUCAAAAAGAGGGAGUCCAUGUCUGGGACUGGAAACUUAGCCAAAUACCCAGAGCUAGGGAAGUCAUGGCCCACUUUACUAAACCAACAUAAUUCUGAACUACAUUCUAAAAAUUUAUCUUUAUACUCAUAGAUAAGUGUAGUCUUCACCCUUUAUCCAGGAAACUUCUCUUUGAAACAGACAGAGAACAUUACAGAAAUCCAUAACCAAUCAAAAUGCAGAGUUGUGGAGCCCAGCCCCAUUGGAUACAUCUACAAUACAACUCCCAUAUCAAAGGAUCAGGGAACAUUGCAGAAACAUUGUAAAAGCCAGAUAAGCAGGGAGUUUACUGUGAGAUUAUAUUUCCUAGUAAUGUUCAAGUUACACCCACAAAGUUUCACCAACAUGACUGCAUACACAUGAGCUGAACAAGGAUGACACGAUUAUUGCAGAAGCCCAAGAGGCCUCAACCCUACACAAAUAACUACAGCAGCUAAGGAAAGCUGAGCACAGGAGAAAUAGUCUGCCCUUGGGAAGAACACACCAACUGAUUAUCCAGUAUUAAAUGAUCAGCCCUAAAAACAUUUGCAGACAAGUAACAUUGUAUAAACUAGGCAUGGUGGGGCAAGCCUUUCAUCCCAGCACCCCAGAGGGAGAGGCAUGAGGAGCUCUGUAAACAUGGAGUAACAAUAGUACAGUCUAUAUGUAGAUUAUUUCUAAUUAUUUCUCUCAUAAUUGCCAUUGAUUGAUUUUGCUCAAUGUUAAUAAUUCUUAAUCAGAAAACAAUGACAUAAUAAAUCACCUUUGCAAGUGUGACAAAAUCAGAAAUGGAGAGGUGUUAAUGAAAUGCAAAAAUUAUUUUUUAUGAAUGUAUUAAAUAAACAUUUUUAUUAUUUGUAAUAAUAUUUUUAGGAAAAAAAUCAGACUUACACAAAUCUUCAUACAUUGAAAUUAAGAAUGACUGUUUAUGUUAUAAGUGAGCAUAAAUACUUCAAAUUAAUGACCUGUGUGAAAAACUUAAGUAGAUGAAUAAAUAUAAGAAAUAUAUAUGUCAAAAAAAAAAGUAAGUGGAGAGCAAUUGAUGAAGACAUCCAACAUGGACUUCUGGUCUCCCCAUGCACAUGUGUGCAUGUGUGUGCAUUGUGAAUUGGCUAAUACCUUUCAUUUUGAGAAUUAUCCUUUCAAUUAUAACUGCAUCUCAUUAACUAUAACAGAGAAUGGGUUCAUUGUUCUAACUUGUAUUUUUUGAAAUUCA